ACAGCAGUCGCCGCGGUAAUACGAAGGGGGCUAGCGUUGCUCGGAAUUACUGGGCGUAAAGGGCGCGUAGGCGGACAGUUCAGUCGGGGGUGAAAGCCCGGGGCUCAACCUCGGAAUUGCCUUCGAUACUGGCUGUCUUGAGUAUGAGAGAGGUGUGUGGAACUCCGAGUGUAGAGGUGAAAUUCGUAGAUAUUCGGAAGAACACCAGUGGCGAAGGCGGCUCACUGGACUGGUAUUGACGCUGAGGUGCGAAAGCGUGUGGAGCAAACAGGAUUAGAUACCCCCGUAGUCCCUGUCUCUUAUAC
This 305-nucleotide ribosomal RNA is filed under the name uncultured bacterium. RNAcentral describes it as "partial 16S ribosomal RNA". It matches the Rfam family "Bacterial small subunit ribosomal RNA", at positions 508 to 807 of the family's 1533-position model. The record is from RNAcentral.